Molecule: long non-coding RNA, 302 nt
Organism: Drosophila guanche
Lineage: Eukaryota; Metazoa; Arthropoda; Insecta; Diptera; Drosophilidae
Exons: 2
Source: RefSeq, a predicted model, not a curated record
GUGAAGCUUAUGUGUAUUCGAAUUGCGAAAAUGCAGUCUCUACGCCUAGAAUGGAGAGCCGUCCCUCGCAGACAUUCUUGAAGUGAAGUAUCAAGAUUUCAAGUUCGCAUCUAAAUUAAUCAAAUCGUAUCAAAAUUGCGUCCUCGAAUCCUCCACAGGCCACAGGAGGAGGAGGAGGAUCUGACAGGGUAAACGAAUAGUGCUCGACUUUCGAUCGAAACUCUCUAAAUCAAUCAAGUGGAAAAUUGCAUUUCGGAAAGAAUAUAUUUCGUAAAUAAAAAGGAGAAUAUCAAAGUAUAGAA